This 377-nucleotide long non-coding RNA is filed under the name Capsicum annuum. RNAcentral describes it as "long non-coding RNA (CANN_LNC007081)". Lineage: Eukaryota; Viridiplantae; Streptophyta; Magnoliopsida; Solanales; Solanaceae. The record is from RNAcentral.
AGGUGAUUAGGCGGGACAUGGAACAGUUACAGCUCACCGAGGACAUGACCCUAGAUAGGAAGGUCUGGAAGACGCGAAUUACGGCAGAGGUUUUUUAUUCCCGUUUUGAUUCCGUAUUCAGUGUUCCAUGAUUAUUACGAAUCUGUGUGCUUUCCUCUGCUUUCCUCUGUUUUAUAUUCCUUAUGGGUGCCGUAUUUAUGUUAUGUCAUCUGCUUCUGUACUUUACUAUGUGUUUGUGUGAUAUCUUGUGCCUUGAGCCGGGGGUCUUUCGGAAACAGCCUUUCUACUUCAUCAGAGGUAGAGGUAUGGACUGCGUACAUCUUACCCCCCCCAGACCCCACUAAGUGGGAAUACACUGGGUUUGUUGUUGUUGUUGU